GCGUCGGUGGUUCAGUGGUAGAAUACUCGCCUGCCACGCGGGUGACCCGGGUUCAAUUCCCGGCUGGCGCA
This 71-nucleotide transfer RNA is filed under the name Rhipicephalus microplus (southern cattle tick). RNAcentral describes it as "tRNA-Gly". It matches the Rfam family "tRNA". Rfam says of the family: Transfer RNA (tRNA) molecules are approximately 80 nucleotides in length. Their secondary structure includes four short double-helical elements and three loops (D, anti-codon, and T loops). Lineage: Eukaryota; Metazoa; Arthropoda; Arachnida; Ixodida; Ixodidae. The record is from Rfam by way of RNAcentral.